Long non-coding RNA from Nicrophorus vespilloides, 792 nucleotides. RefSeq lists it as uncharacterized. Lineage: Eukaryota; Metazoa; Arthropoda; Insecta; Coleoptera; Silphidae. The record is from RefSeq and is a predicted model, not a curated record. The transcript has 3 exons.
UUUGUUACUUAUUGGAUAGGUAAGAGUAUCUGUACUUCUUAAAACCUAUUGGAUGAGCAACAAUUUGAAGAAUGCAACUUCCAAUCUAUGAAAACACAAGAAGAAGACCUAAGAUUUGUUGUAUUGGAAUAAGAACUUAUAUGAAUUAUCAAUUGUCACAAUAGUUCAAUCAAUUGAUACUCCUUCUUUACAUAUUAACAUAUCUGUUUUAAAUGGAAGUGCAUUUGUCAGAGAAAAAUAUAAGAAUGAACAAACAUAGAUUUCAGCAAAUAUUGAACUAUGUAAAACAACGUUUUCAAAGAAAUCUGGAGUAUUUAGAUACUUCGUUACGUAAUUUUUUUCAACAACCCUUCAAUAUAAUUACAUUAUCGACAAAACCAUUUUAAGGUGAAUGGUAUCUUCGUGCUGUCGUCGCCAGCUGUAGAAAUUUAAAAAAAAGUGAAUAGGAUUUUCUUAAAAAUGUAAUACCUAAGUUUGAUAAAUAAGUUAUGGUAGCUACAAACGUGCAUUUACACUCAUUUUAAUCUCUCUAUAUUCAAGAUCAACAUUAAUAUCCAAAACUCUUCUGAGAGUAGGUGUAUACGAAAAUACGGGCAAUUUUCAAAAACGUUGUUAACCGAAUUACCUAAUACCAAAGUUUGAUAAUUAAUUUUAACGAAGCUAUGGUGGCUACAAACCUGUAUUUACACUCAUUUUAAUCUCUGUAUAUUCAAGAUCAACAUUAAUGUCCAAAACUCUUCUGAGAUUUGGUUUAUACUAAAAUACAGAUCAUUUUAGAAGACGUUAUUUUCC